AAUGAACGUUGGCGGCGUGGAUUAGGCAUGCAAGUCGUGCGGAAAGGCCCCGCAAGGGUACGUCGAGCGGCGAAAGGGAUAGUAAUGCGUGGAUUACCUGCCCUCAGGCCUGGGAUAGCUGCUGGAAACGGCAAUUAAUACCAGAUAAUGUCUCCGGACCAAAGGUGUAAUUCCGUCUGAGGAGGGGUCCGCGUCCUAUUAGCUAGUUGGUGGGGUAAUGGCCUACCAAGGGCAACGAUGGGUAGCCGGGUGUGAGAGCACGACCCGCAUCACUGGGGACUGAGAUACUGCCCAGACACCUACGGGUGGCAG
RNAcentral lists this ribosomal RNA (312 nucleotides) under uncultured Planctomycetota bacterium. RNAcentral describes it as "bacterial SSU rRNA". It matches the Rfam family "Bacterial small subunit ribosomal RNA", at positions 29 to 351 of the family's 1533-position model. Lineage: Bacteria; Pseudomonadati; Planctomycetota. The record is from RNAcentral.